UGCUGCUUCUUUCCCGCGACGUCUGGAUGAUCCUUUUAAAAUGCACCCUGCUCUCUCAGACCAGGCCCAGGUCAGCUACAUUGUGGCGAAACGCGCUGGUUAGCAGUGUAAUGAGCUCCUUACAGUCUGGCACAGAUGCCAGAUUCAAACUAGACAGGCCCAGAGCAUUCAAAACAACUGACAUAGAUCAUAGACAUUAUAGAACUACAGAAGAGGAUUUCAGAAAAUCAUGCUGUGUGGAUCAAGUACCCUAAAUAUACACAGUAC
Molecule: long non-coding RNA, 267 nt
Organism: Carassius carassius (crucian carp)
Lineage: Eukaryota; Metazoa; Chordata; Actinopteri; Cypriniformes; Cyprinidae
Exons: 2
Source: RefSeq, a predicted model, not a curated record